Molecule: non-coding RNA, 396 nt
Organism: Choloepus didactylus (southern two-toed sloth)
Lineage: Eukaryota; Metazoa; Chordata; Mammalia; Pilosa; Megalonychidae
Source: the annotation of a RefSeq genome assembly
UGGGCUCCUCUGGGACUGGGCUGGCUUCUCAGACUCUAAUAAUGGGGUUUCCCUGGAGAUGGGGUCUGAGUGCACCAGAGGGUCAGCAAGAUGGUGUCAGAGUCCCAACUCCUCAUCCUCCUGGUGCUCUGGGCCUCAGGUGCCAGUGGGGACAUCAUGACAGACCAGUCUCCGGAAUCUGUGGCAAAGCCUCCAGGUGAGUCCAUCACAGUGCACUGCAAGUCCAGCCAGGUUGUUAGCAACUAUGUAGCCUGGUACGAGCAGAAACCUGGACAGGCUCCUAAACAGCUCAUCUACUAUGCAUCCAUCUGGGCUUCUGGGGUCCCCGACCGAUUCAGUGGCAGUGGGUCAGGGACAGAUUUCACUUUCACCACCACCAGUUGACAGCCUGAGGAU